This is a long non-coding RNA of Vitis riparia (riverbank grape), 387 nucleotides long. RefSeq lists it as uncharacterized. NCBI's taxonomy places the organism in Eukaryota, Viridiplantae, Streptophyta, Magnoliopsida, Vitales, Vitaceae. The transcript is spliced from 2 exons. The record is from RefSeq and is a predicted model, not a curated record.
AUUCUGCUCUCUCUCUUGGCACUUUCUGGGGCUUCCUUAUAUCACUGCAUUCCCCAGGUGUUCAUUAUGUGCAAAGGUUUGAAGUUACUGCAGUCCCUCCUACUUCUUGACAAGCUCGACAAUGUUGAAGGGAUCCUUGAGAAUCUGGAACGUAUCUGUGAGUAAUCUUGGAAACAUUUGGGCAAUCUGUAGAUUCUUCACUUGUUCUCAUUGCUAAGUUACCCCAUUCCAUCUGAUACUUGGACCUGCCACCUCUGUUGGUAUGUUCCGUUGAACUAAGCAAGCUUGUUGAUGUGUUCUGUUGAACUGAGUAAUAGUAUGUUUACUCUCAAAUUUAAAUCUUUUAACCUGAAUCCAGAAUCAGCAGCGUCAUUAGAGUUACUGGCA